RNAcentral lists this long non-coding RNA (1063 nucleotides) under Durio zibethinus. RNAcentral's name for it is "long non-coding RNA (DZIB_LNC001921)". The record is from RNAcentral. Lineage: Eukaryota; Viridiplantae; Streptophyta; Magnoliopsida; Malvales; Malvaceae.
GAGAGUCGAAUAUUUAGAUAAGGAAUAUUUAUAUAAGGAAUCUUUUGAUCUGGGCAUACUUGAAAAAAGGACUCGAUUUUCUAAUUAUGAAACUAAUGAAGAAACUAAUAAUGAAACUAAUAAUGAAACUAAUAAUGAAACUAAUAAUGAAGAAACUACUACUGAAACUAAUAAUGAAACUAAUAAUGAAACUAAUAAUGAAACUAAUAAUGAAACUAAUAAUGAAACUAAAAGAAAUAAUGAAAUUAAAAGAAAUAAUGAAACUAAUAAUGAAACUAAUAAUGAAACUAAUAAUGAAACUAAAAGAAAUAAUGAAACUAAAAGAAAUAAUGAAACUAAAAGAAAUAAUGAAACUAAUAAUGAAACUAAUAAUGAAACUAAUAAUGAAACUAAAAUAAAAUACUUGCCUAAAAUAUAUGAUCCUUUCUUGCAGGGACCCUACCGCGGAAGAAUCAAAAAAUUGUUUUCACCUUUAAGUGAAAAAACAAACACGGAUCCGUUUUGGAUAAAUAAGAUUCAUGUUAUACUUCUUGCUACUGAUUAUUACGAAUUUGAACAGACAAUAGAUACACUCAAAUCAUUAUCAACAGAAAAAGAACUUUCUUUAUUGACAGAAACAGAAGAUGAACAGACAAUAGAUACACUCAAAUCAUUAUCAACAGAAAAAGAACUUUCUUUAUUGACAGAAACAGAAGAUGAACAGACAAUAGAUACACUCAAAUCAUUAUCAACAGAAAAAGAACUUUCUUUAUUGACAGAAACAGAAGAUGAACAGACAAUAGAUACACUCAAAUCAUUAUCAACAGAAAAAGAACUUUCUUUAUUGACAGAAACAGAAGAUGAACAGACAAUAGAUACACUCAAAUCAUUAUCAACAGAAAAAGAACUUUCUUUAUUGACAGAAACAGAAGAUGAACAGACAAUAGAUACACUCAAAUCAUUAUCAACAGAAAAAGAACUUUCUUUAUUGACAGAAACAGAAGAUGAACAGGGAAAUAUCGAUUCCGAGGAUCGAGUCAAAAUUUUGAAAUUUUUAUGCAAUAUAGUUAUAACUAAUCCCGAC